Molecule: ribosomal RNA, 494 nt
Filed under: uncultured bacterium
Lineage: Bacteria
Description: partial 16S ribosomal RNA
Rfam family: Bacterial small subunit ribosomal RNA
Source: RNAcentral
GACGAACGCUGGCGGCGUGCUUAACACAUGCAAGUCGAACGGAAAGGCCUGCUUUCCCUUGUGGAUUGCGGGUACUCGAGUGGCGAACGGGUGAGUAACACGUGAGUGAUCUGCCCCCAACUUGGGUAUAAGCCUGGGAAACUGGGUCUAAUUCCCGAUAGGACUGCAGGGUGGUGCCUGUGGUGGAAAACGAUUUUCUAGUGGUUGGGGAUGAGCUCGCGGCCUAUCAGCUUGUUGGUGGGGUAAGGGCCUACCAAGGCGGCGACGGGUAGCCGGCCUGAGGGGGUGGACGGCCACAUUGGGACUGAGAUACGGCCCAGACUCCUACGGGAGGCAGCAGUGGGGAAUAUGGCACAAUGGGCGGAAGCCUGAUGCAGCGACGCCGCGUGGGGGAUAACGGCCUUCGGGUUGUAAACUCCUUUCGACCGCGAGGAAGCCACCUGGCUGGAGGGGUGGUGACGGUAGUGGUAGAAGAAGCACCGGCUAACUACGUG